Molecule: ribosomal RNA, 120 nt
Filed under: Frullania sp. B BlS-2016
Lineage: Eukaryota; Viridiplantae; Streptophyta; Jungermanniopsida; Porellales; Frullaniaceae
Description: partial 5.8S ribosomal RNA
Rfam family: 5.8S ribosomal RNA
About the family: 5.8S ribosomal RNA (5.8S rRNA) is a component of the large subunit of the eukaryotic ribosome. It is transcribed by RNA polymerase I as part of the 45S precursor that also contains 18S and 28S rRNA.
Source: RNAcentral
UGAAGAAMGCAGCCGAAAUGCGAUACCUAGUGUGAAUUGCAGAAUUCCGCGAAUCAUCGAGUUUUUGAACGCAAGUUGCGCCCGAGGCUCGUACCGAGGGCAUGUCUGUCUGAGCGUCCU